Molecule: non-coding RNA, 72 nt
Organism: Rhipicephalus microplus (southern cattle tick)
Lineage: Eukaryota; Metazoa; Arthropoda; Arachnida; Ixodida; Ixodidae
Source: the annotation of a RefSeq genome assembly
GCCAUGGUAGCUCAGUGGUAGAGCAUCAAACGCAUUAUUUGAAGGCCGCAGGUUCGGUUCCUGCCCACGGCA